Salmo salar (Atlantic salmon) is the source of this 2192-nucleotide long non-coding RNA. RefSeq lists it as uncharacterized. The record is from RefSeq and is a predicted model, not a curated record. Lineage: Eukaryota; Metazoa; Chordata; Actinopteri; Salmoniformes; Salmonidae.
ACAGGCAAAGGUCAAAACCAGGAGGACUAGAAAAAGAGAGAUAAGAAAACCACAUUGGUUGACUUGACAAGACAAAAUGGUAACAGAAAACAGGGAACACUGGAAAAAAAUACCCAGGGACUAAUGGGGAAACGGGUGACACCUGGAGGUGGGUGGAGACAAUCACAAAGACAGGUGAAACAGAUCAGGGUGUGACCAACGUAACCUAUAAGAGAGCAGCACAAGCCAUCAUGAGUCAUGAUUCAUCUACAUCACCUGAAGCCCGAAGUAAUAAAGAGAUGCUAUAAUAUCCACAAUACUCACUGAAACAUAGAACUGUCUAACUGCUGCUCAGUGUCAGGUGGCUGUCUCCACGCUGUCAAAGUAUUGGAUAGCAAAAAUGAAAGAAAGAAAAAGAGACAUAAGAAAUGUAGGAGUAAAAUAAUGGCUACCUGAACCUGCAUGACAUGAGCCAUCCUGUAACGGCUGUUGAAUGGAGUAGACCAAGGCGCAGAGUGAGAGGAGAGGGGGAGCUGCUGGAUGGUCACCGUUCACACCCUGCUGUAAAUCUCUAGAGGGGGAAACUUUCUCUUUUCACUCUCUAGUAUUGGCUAAAGCAGUGGUCGCCAACCAGUCGAUCGCGAUUGAUCUCAAGGCAUUCCUAGUUGAUCACCAAAUAUUUCUGUAGAAAAGCCAACGAACGAUAAAGGCUGGUGCUCCUUUUUUUAAAUCGUGUUGAACUGUUGCCAUUAGGUGCACUUGAUUCAAAUGUCCUGCACAACGGGUAAGCAAAGUGUUCCCAUGAGUCAAACUCUGCGGUGGACCCGGAAAAUCUGUGACUAAAUCGAGUGCACCUACUGUGCUGCCCAAUCGGAUAGCUCAAAUCACCGUGGCUACAGAGCUUCCAUGACCCUGGCCACUGCCAGGUUUAAUAGGCUACAAGCCUAUGUAAGAUUUAAUAACUUUUAAAACCAUGACCACAGGGAGACUGUCAAUGAAUACAACGAAGAGCUGCUGUUUUAAUGAGUGAGUUUAAGUUUAUAUUCAGCACUGUCACUGUUUUUAUUCAACACUAUUACAAAACGUGCUUCUCCGUACUUCCGCUCAGGCCACAGCUGCAAUGAAUGAGUAGCCAAGUAUCGAUAGCCCUGCGUUUUAUUGUUAUUAGCAGCUCGUCAUGUCGAUUUUAAUAUUAAGGAAUAUUUAACUUUCUCUGGUCAUAACAUGAAUUUGUGCAUGAGGCAGAUGCGGUGCGACUCGAGUUUCGCCAUCAGGUGGAAGACUGUGUCCCCUCUCUCUGAUCAGUCUCACCGGAGGAAAGGAAGGAGAGAGCAGGGAACGUGAGAGGCAGUUGGGAAAAUGUUUUUGAACAGUCAUCCAAUUCUGAAUUCCAAGUUGGAAACUCGGGCAUCUUUCUAGAGCUCUGACUUUUCGACCUGAAGAUCACUGACCUCGUGAUUUGACCUCGUGUACCAUCAGUCCAUUAAAAUAAAAAAGCAAUUAAUUUCCAUUCAUGCUCCACAGUGCCUCACAAGUGCUAAACCAACUGAUCUAUUUUGUUAUCAAAGCUCGAGAUUUGAAAUAUAAUAUGGUCUGAUUAACAAUAUUGGCAGGCAAUCAUAUAGCCAAUAUCCAGGGAUAAUGUAUUAGGCCAACUGCCCAAACCUCAUUCCUACAAAACUGGUUUGUAUCAGGUUAAUGUAAAAAAAAAAAAAAAAAUCUGAGCAGUAGGUCUCAGCUUGCUUUUUGACUGCGAAAGUGAUCUUGACUCAGAAAAGGUUGGUGACCACUGGGCUAAAGAAAUGUAUUUUGUCUUCAGAGACUGUUGCACACCCAAAACUCUAAUGCCCAAAAAGUGAAUAAUGGAACAAUAAUUCUAACAAAGAAUUUGGGGAAUGGUCAGUGGGUAGAUGUAGAAAACUAAUGUCAUUGUUUUUCAUUUUGUGAUGUCAUUAAAAACUGUAUGAACGAAAUCCUGUAAUUUGGCAAGGAUAAUCCCUUUGUCAAAUUUCCAUCCAGUAAGUUGUCUGUGUGAUAUGAACAUUUAUUAAAGUAUUUUUGUUAAGAUAGGAAUGAGAUUUUAGGAGUCAUAAGAGAACUUCUAAUCAUAUCCUUUUCACAUUAUAUAGCCACACCCUGAGUGAGGUCAGAAGAGCAUGUCAGUAUGAUGGAACUGUCCUUUUCGACCAGAGUGCUUAAAGUGAUUGGCUCCG